UGAGUCAGCCGGGCGGCCGCGGCAGCGAUGUCGAGGAAAGUCCGGGCUCCGCAGGGCGAGGUGGUGGCUAACGGCCACCCGGGGCGACCCGCGGGACAGUGCCACAGAGAGAAGACCGCCGGUGCUCGCACCGGUAAGGGUGAAAGGGUGGUGUAAGAGACCACCAGCGGGCCGGGUGACCGGUCCGGCUAGGUAAACCCCACCUGGAGCAAGUCCAGACAGUGCGCGCCCGAGGGCUGCCCGCCCGAGCGCACGGGUAGGACGCGACGAGGUCGUCGGCGACGACGGCCCCAGAUGGAUGGCCGCCCAUCCGCCCCUCGGGGCGGUGGACAGAACCCGGCUUACAGGCUGACUCAUCCC
RNAcentral lists this RNase P RNA (360 nucleotides) under Janibacter melonis. RNAcentral describes it as "Bacterial RNase P class A". It matches the Rfam family "Bacterial RNase P class A". Rfam says of the family: Ribonuclease P (RNase P) is a ubiquitous endoribonuclease, found in archaea, bacteria and eukarya as well as chloroplasts and mitochondria. Its best characterised activity is the generation of mature 5'-ends of tRNAs by cleaving the 5'-leader elements of precursor-tRNAs. Lineage: Bacteria; Bacillati; Actinomycetota; Actinomycetes; Micrococcales; Intrasporangiaceae. RNAcentral also lists the same sequence under 1 other name. The record is from Rfam by way of RNAcentral.